UCCAGUCUGCUCACUGAUAAUUUAAAGAGCCGCAGUAUAUUGACUGUGCAAAGGUAGCAUAAUCAAUAGUUUUUUAAUUGAAAACUUGUAUGAAAGAUUAGACGAGAAAUUUAUUUUCUUUAUUUUAUAGAAUUGAAUUUUAAUUUUAAGUGAAAAUGCUUAAUUAAAUUUAAAAGACGAGAAGACCCUAUAGAUUUUUAUUACUUAAAUAAAUUUAAUAAAAAAUUUAGUAAAGUAAUUUCAUUGGGGUGAUUUUGUAAUAAAAUAAACUUAAUUUUUUAUAACCAAAAAUAAUUGAAAUUUUUGAUCUAAAAUUUUUAAAGAAAAGAUUAAAUUACCUUAGGGAUAACAGCGUAAUUUUUUUUAAGAGUUCAUAUCUAUAAAAAAGUUUGCGACCUCGAUGUUGAAUUAAGAUAAUAUAUUGAAGUAG
RNAcentral lists this ribosomal RNA (430 nucleotides) under Trichadenotecnum danieli. RNAcentral's name for it is "partial 16S rRNA". Lineage: Eukaryota; Metazoa; Arthropoda; Insecta; Psocodea; Psocidae. The record is from RNAcentral.